RNAcentral lists this ribosomal RNA (484 nucleotides) under uncultured bacterium. RNAcentral's name for it is "partial 16S ribosomal RNA". It matches the Rfam family "Bacterial small subunit ribosomal RNA", at positions 28 to 507 of the family's 1533-position model. The record is from RNAcentral.
AUUGAACGCUGGCGGCAUGCUUUACACAUGCAAGUCGAACGGCAGCGCGGGCUUCGGCCUGGCGGCGAGUGGCGAACGGGUGAGUAAUGCAUCGGAACGUGCCCAGUAGUGGGGGAUAGCCCGGCGAAAGCCGGAUUAAUACCGCAUACGACCUGAGGGUGAAAGCGGGGGACCGAAAGGCCUCGCGCUAUUGGAGCGGCCGAUGUCGGAUUAGCUAGUUGGUGGGGUAAAGGCUUACCAAGGCGACGAUCCGUAGCUGGUCUGAGAGGACGACCAGCCACACUGGGACUGAGACACGGCCCAGACUCCUGCGGGAGGCAGCAGUGGGGAAUUUUGGACAAUGGGGGCAACCCUGAUCCAGCCAUGCCGCGUGCGGUAAGAAGGCCUUCGGGUUGUAAACCGCUUUUGUUCGGGAAGAAAUCCUCUGGGCUAAUACCCCGGGGGGAUGACGGUACCGGAAGAAUAAGCACCGGCUAACUACGUG